GCGAAUAUGAAUUUGUGAUUGCAACCCACGUCGAUCGUGAACACAUCCAUAACGUGCGCCCAGAUAGGGUGUUAAGUCAAGUAGUUUAAGGUACUACUCUGUAAGAUAACACAGAAAACAGCCAACCUAACCGAAAAGCGAAAGCUGAUACGGGAACAGAGCACGGUUGGAAAGCGAUGAGUUACCUAAAGACAAUCGGGUACGACUGAGUCGCAAUGUUAAUCAGAUAUAAGGUAUAAGUUGUGUUUACUGAACGCAAGUUUCUAAUUUCGGUUAUGUGUCGAUAGAGGAAAGUGUCUGAAACCUCUAGUACAAAGAAAGGUAAGUUAUGGUUGUGGACUUAUCUGUUAUCACCACAUUUGUACAAUCUGUAGGAGAACCUAUGGGAACGAAACGAAAGCGAUGCCGAGAAUCUGAAUUUACCAAGACUUAACACUAACUGGGGAUACCCUAAACAAGAAUGCCUAAUAGAAAGGAGGAAAAAGGCUAUAGCACUAGAGCUUGAAAAUCUUGCAAGGGUACGGAGUACUCGUAGUAGUCUGAGAAGGGUAACGCCCUUUACAUGGCAAAGGGGUACAGUUAUUGUGUACUAAAAUUAAAAAUUGAUUAGGGAGGAAAACCUCAAAAUGAAACCAACAAUGGCAAUUUUAGAAAGAAUCAGUAAAAAUUCACAAGAAAAUAUAGACGAAGUUUUUACAAGACUUUAUCGUUAUCUUUUACGUCCAGAUAUUUAUUACGUGGCGUAUCAAAAUUUAUAUUCCAAUAAAGGAGCUUCCACAAAAGGAAUAUUAGAUGAUACAGCGGAUGGCUUUAGUGAAGAAAAAAUAAAAAAGAUUAUUCAAUCUUUAAAAGACGGAACUUACUAUCCUCAACCUGUACGAAGAAUGUAUAUUGCAAAAAAGAAUUCUAAAAAGAUGAGACCUUUAGGAAUUCCAACUUUCACAGAUAAAUUGAUCCAAGAAGCUGUGAGAAUAAUUCUUGAAUCUAUCUAUGAACCGGUAUUCGAAGAUGUGUCUCACGGUUUUAGACCUCAACGAAGCUGUCACACAGCUUUGAAAACAAUCAAAAGAGAGUUUGGCGGCGCAAGAUGGUUUGUGGAGGGAGAUAUAAAAGGCUGCUUCGAUAAUAUAGACCACGUUACACUCAUUGGACUCAUCAAUCUUAAAAUCAAAGAUAUGAAAAUGAGCCAAUUGAUUUAUAAAUUUCUAAAAGCAGGUUAUCUGGAAAACUGGCAGUAUCACAAAACUUACAGCGGAACACCUCAAGGUGGAAUUCUAUCUCCUCUUUUGGCCAACAUCUAUCUUCAUGAAUUGGAUAAGUUUGUUUUACAACUCAAAAUGAAGUUUGACCGAGAAAGUCCAGAAAGAAUAACACCUGAAUAUCGGGAACUUCACAAUGAGAUAAAAAGAAUUUCUCACCGUCUCAAGAAGUUGGAGGGUGAAGAAAAAGCUAAAGUUCUUUUAGAAUAUCAAGAAAAACGUAAAAGAUUACCCACACUCCCCUGUACCUCACAGACAAAUAAAGUAUUGAAAUACGUCCGGUAUGCGGACGACUUCAUUAUCUCUGUUAAAGGAAGCAAAGAGGACUGUCAAUGGAUAAAAGAACAAUUAAAACUUUUUAUUCAUAACAAGCUAAAAAUGGAAUUGAGUGAAGAAAAAACACUCAUCACACAUAGCAGUCAACCCGCUCGUUUUCUGGGAUAUGAUAUACGAGUAAGGAGAAGUGGAACGAUAAAACGAUCUGGUAAAGUCAAAAAGAGAACACUCAAUGGGAGUGUAGAACUCCUUAUUCCUCUUCAAGACAAAAUUCGUCAAUUUAUUUUUGACAAGAAAAUAGCUAUCCAAAAGAAAGAUAGCUCAUGGUUUCCAGUUCACAGGAAAUAUCUUAUUCGUUCAACAGACUUAGAAAUCAUCACAAUUUAUAAUUCUGAAUUAAGAGGGAUUUGUAAUUACUACGGUCUAGCAAGUAAUUUUAACCAGCUCAAUUAUUUUGCUUAUCUUAUGGAAUACAGCUGUCUAAAAACGAUAGCCUCCAAACAUAAGGGAACACUUUCAAAAACCAUUUCCAUGUUUAAAGAUGGAAGUGGUUCGUGGGGCAUCCCGUAUGAGAUAAAGCAAGGUAAGCAGCGCCGUUAUUUUGCAAAUUUUAGUGAAUGUAAAUCCCCUUAUCAAUUUACGGAUGAGAUAAGUCAAGCUCCUGUAUUGUAUGGCUAUGCCCGGAAUACUCUUGAAAACAGGUUAAAAGCUAAAUGUUGUGAAUUAUGUGGAACAUCUGAUGAAAAUACUUCCUAUGAAAUUCACCAUGUCAAUAAGGUCAAAAAUCUUAAAGGCAAAGAAAAAUGGGAAAUGGCAAUGAUAGCGAAACAACGUAAAACUCUUGUUGUAUGCUUUCAUUGUCAUCGUCACGUGAUUCAUAAACACAAGUGAAUUUUUACGAACGAACAAUAACAGAGCCGUAUACUCCGAGAGGGGUACGUACGGUUCCCGAAGAGGGUGGUGCAAACCAGUCACAGUAAUGUGAACAAGGCGGUACCUCCCUACUUCACCAUAUCAUUUUUAAUUCUACGAAUCUUUAUACUGGCAAACAAUUUGACUGGAAAG
This 2600-nucleotide non-coding RNA is filed under the name Lactococcus lactis. The record is from RNAcentral. Lineage: Bacteria; Bacillati; Bacillota; Bacilli; Lactobacillales; Streptococcaceae.